Molecule: ribosomal RNA, 253 nt
Filed under: uncultured bacterium
Lineage: Bacteria
Description: partial 16S ribosomal RNA
Rfam family: Bacterial small subunit ribosomal RNA
Source: RNAcentral
UACGGGGGGGGCAAGCGUUGUUCGGAAUUACUGGGCGUAAAGGGUUUGUAGGUGGCUUGUUAAGUCAGACGUGAAAUCCCUCAGCUUAACUGGGGAACUGCGUCUGAUACUGGCGAGCUUGAGUGCAGGAGAGGAACGCGGAAUUCCAGGUGUAGCGGUGAAAUGCGUAGAUAUCGGGAGGAACAUCUGUGGCGAAGGCGACACCCUGGACCAGCACUGACACUGAGGCACGAAAGCGUGGGGAGCAAACAGG